This is a long non-coding RNA of Siniperca chuatsi (mandarin fish), 2446 nucleotides long. RefSeq lists it as uncharacterized. The record is from RefSeq and is a predicted model, not a curated record. Lineage: Eukaryota; Metazoa; Chordata; Actinopteri; Centrarchiformes; Sinipercidae. The transcript is spliced from 2 exons.
AGCAUUUUGGAUGGAUUUGGAUGUUUAUGAUGCUGAUGGAUGUUGUGAAGGUUCAUGACCAGAAGCUGGUUUCAGAGAUGAAGUGCGCUGGGUUUGGAAGGGUAGUGGCCUUCAAAUGGCUGGAGCUGAAAAACACAGAGCCAAAAGAGGAAAACUUCAGAUAGCAGGUGAUAACUGAAGAAGAUCUACAGGAACUUGCUGGGACGCUGAACUGAGAUCAGCAAAGUCCUCGCACCUGGUUGUGACUCGUCCUUUGGACUGCUGCUUGUACUGAUGCAUCAAAUCAUGUCUAUCACCUCAGUACUUCGCCGCUGUACACCUCCAUCUUUGCUGACUUCCACCUCCCCUCUAGUUCUGCCAGUCUGUCAUUGUGUGUGCCAGAGACUGCCAGCACGGAGUCAUGACAGAAUGAGAGAAACAUCACUUUAAUUAGAUAUUACAUUGCUACAAAUGAGGUACAGUAUGUGUUAAAUGUAAGACCACAUAUAUAUAGCACUCCAUAAUCAGGUUUGUAAAGAUGCAUUUUCUUGCCAACAGAACCUCUGUGUGGACUACUGUUGUACUGACUUGUAUGAUGUACUGUAUAUUCAGUAUGUGUUGUGGCUGUUCUCCUUUUUAUUUCAAUAAUGUAACCAGGCUGUUAAAUUCAAACUUUUUUAUAAGUAGACCAUCAACAGUAUUUCUGAAAAAUGUGAGUAGCCUAAUUAUUUAUUUCAAACUAAAUUAUUCAGGUAAACAAAGAGGGAGACGUUUUGGGGAGGUAGGUGUGACUCACAAUAUUAACAUAAAGCAGCUGGAGCUGAAAGGAGGGCUUUGCUUGCUUUCCUUGCAGCAUGCCAACACAGGGCCGACGCAGAACCGUGCCUUAAUACAUAACACGACCCCGUUUGUUUAUUCACGGGCAGCUGAUAAUAACUGUUUGUUUAUUAGUUCUUUUUUCAAAUACAGAGUGGCUGGAGUAUUUUGUUGUUUCCCAUAAAAUUUGACAGUGCUGAUGGUACUCUUUCUAAUGUGUGCCUUGGUGGCUUUUUUUAGUUAUGUUGAUUUUUCUUUAUUGUUCUUUAAGCAGACAUUCCAGCAGCUUCUUCUCUGCUGCAGCUGCUGAUUUGGCGACUCUUUUCUACUCCAUUCUCACACAGUUAAUCAUGACUUUUUCAUCUGACUUUUGUUCUCUCUGCGUAACAGAUGCAACAGAUUUUUAAGUAAGAGCACACAAAAAAUUGACUUUAUUACAAUAACAAGAGUAAAUGUUUGAUACUUCCACCCCUGAAAACUACCUAUGACACUAUGGUUCCAUGCUUAGGUCACAUGAUGUCACCUGAGCCAGUUCCAUUCACUGAUGAAGACCAUGAGAUGAAAGCUCGUAUGUAAACUAGUAUGUAGACCUUGUGACCUUGAGUUGGGAUUAGUUUGUUGCAUAUACUGUACCUAUUUACCGUUUUGAAAAAAACAGAACAAGAAAGUCAUGCAGUGUUUCUCGAUAUUUUAUUCAUUCAUCAUCUGUUUUAAUGCAAGCUGUGAACAAAAACUGAACUGAACAGGAAGUGAACUAAAGGCCACAGUACAUUGCUCUGUCACUGCUGACAGGAGCACUUGGAUAGGCAAUUUCAUUAAAUCAACCUCUCAGUAUCAAAUAUCGCUUCAAAAAUAUACUCUAAUAAAAUAUUUUGAAGUUAGAAUAUCAAAGGUUCUACAUUAAAUAUUUAUAUGUGUGUGUGUCUACUAUCCAGCACUUAACCAUGUUUAAAUUAGCAGACCAAAUGCUACUACCCAGACAGAGGAAAUGAAAGAGAAUUAAGGGGAAAUUAUGACAUUUGUCAACAUGGGUGUUACAGUUUUGUCCAGGGUCAUGUCCAUGGUUGGUCAUGAUAACAUUUUAGUCACCCUCUCUGUUGGAGACAGUUGAGGAAUGCAGGUUCCAGCAAGAACAACACUAAUUGGGGCAAGAAGCCUUUUAACACCGUCAACUUAGCCCUCAAGCACUUGUCUUUGAAUCUUCCAGAAUGUAAACACAGAGAGUAGCGUCUUGGAACUCUGUGUAGCUACUGUGACAAACUGCAGGGAAUACACACAUCCUCUUCCUGCUCCCCUUUCCCCAAAUCUCUACAAAUACAAUGUUUUCAUGACCAAUAGUCAUAACGGAGAACAAUCUGAGAAUAACACCCAGGUUGACACAGUGUGUUUUACAGCUUUGACUGUGGCUACAAAAUGGCUGUUUUGGAAGCGUGCACUUUCCCCAGUGAUAGAUUAUAGAGAGAGUAAUGCUCUGGUCUGUGUCUGAGGCCUGAGCACCUUCCUUCCUUUCGCAAUAUAACCACCUACUCUAUCUUUACAUUGUGAAUCAAAAACACAGAAUCCCUAACUAUUUUAUAUAUGUGAACUGUUGGACUCCCUACGCGGGUACAGUCAUCGGUUUGCUGUGGUUCCUGAGGCUUUCUUUCAGAAC